Molecule: ribosomal RNA, 896 nt
Filed under: Trichocladium crispatum
Lineage: Eukaryota; Fungi; Ascomycota; Sordariomycetes; Sordariales; Chaetomiaceae
Description: LSU rRNA
Rfam family: Eukaryotic large subunit ribosomal RNA
Source: RNAcentral
UAGCAUAUCAAUAAGCGGAGGAAAAGAAACCAACAGGGAUUGCCCUAGUAACGGCGAGUGAAGCGGCAACAGCUCAAAUUUGAAAUCUGGCUUCGGCCCGAGUUGUAAUUUGUAGAGGAUGCUUUGGGCGCGGCUCUAACUGAGUUCCCUGGAACGGGACGCCACAGAGGGUGAGAGCCCCGUAUAGUUAGAUGCCUAGCCUAUGUAAAGCUCCUUCGACGAGUCGAGUAGUUUGGGAAUGCUGCUCUAAAUGGGAGGUAAAUUUCUUCUAAAGCUAAAUAUUGGCCAGAGACCGAUAGCGCACAAGUAGAGUGAUCGAAAGAUGAAAAGCACUUUGAAAAGAGGGUUAAAUAGCACGUGAAAUUGUUGAAAGGGAAGCGCUUGUGACCAGACUUGCGCCGGGCAGAUCAUCCGGUGUUCUCACCGGUGCACUCUGCCCGGCUCAGGCCAGCAUCGGUUCUCGUGGGGGGAUAAAGGUCCCGGGAACGUAGCUCCUCCGGGAGUGUUAUAGCCCGGGGCGUAAUGCCCUCGUGGGGACCGAGGUUCGCGCAUCUGCAAGGAUGCUGGCGUAAUGGUCAUCAGCGACCCGUCUUGAAACACGGACCAAGGAGUCAAGGUUUUGCGCGAGUGUUUGGGUGUAAAACCCGCACGCGUAAUGAAAGUGAACGUAGGUGAGAGCUUCGGCGCAUCAUCGACCGAUCCUGAUGUAUUCGGAUGGAUUUGAGUAAGAGCGUUAAGCCUUGGACCCGAAAGAUGGUGAACUAUGCUUGGAUAGGGUGAAGCCAGAGGAAACUCUGGUGGAGGCUCGCAGCGGUUCUGACGUGCAAAUCGAUCGUCAAAUCUGAGCAUGGGGGGCGAAAGACUAAUCGAACCAUCUAGUAGCUGGUUACCGCCGA